This 253-nucleotide ribosomal RNA is filed under the name uncultured bacterium. RNAcentral's name for it is "partial 16S ribosomal RNA". It matches the Rfam family "Bacterial small subunit ribosomal RNA", at positions 524 to 776 of the family's 1533-position model. The record is from RNAcentral.
GACGUAGGAGGCGAGCGUUAUCCGGAUUCACUGGGCGUAAAGCGCGUGUAGGCGGCUUGGCAAGUCAGUUGUGAAAGCCCGGGGCCCAACCCCGGAAUUGCAUCUGAAACUGCCUGGCUAGAGUCCCGGAGAGGAAGGCAGAAUUCCCGGUGUAGGGGUGAAAUCCGUAGAUAUCGGGAGGAAUACCAGCGGCGAAGGCGGCCUUCUGGACGGUGACUGACGCUGAGACGCGAAAGCGUGGGGAGCAAACAGG